GCGCGUGUAACUCAGCUGGCUAGAGUACUUCCUUGACAUGGAAGAAGUCCCUGGUUCGAGUCCAGGUACGCGCA
This 74-nucleotide transfer RNA is filed under the name Candidatus Moraniibacteriota bacterium. RNAcentral's name for it is "tRNA-Val". It matches the Rfam family "tRNA". From Rfam's summary of the family: Transfer RNA (tRNA) molecules are approximately 80 nucleotides in length. Their secondary structure includes four short double-helical elements and three loops (D, anti-codon, and T loops). The record is from RNAcentral. Lineage: Bacteria; Candidatus Moraniibacteriota.